UUGUUUAUCGAUCAAAGAUUUGAUCUUUACUGAGCAAAAUCUGAAACCGAAGGGAAAAACCCAGAGAAGAAAAAGAUGUACCGUUCGUCUUCAAUUCGACAAGCUCGGCUUUUCUCUACUUCAGCUUUGCUUCAACGCUUUAGCAGCUUCAACUGGGUCUCUCAAGCUUCCUCCAACCGCUCUGGUUUUCUAGGUUGUUUAAAGAGUUUCAGUGCGGGUGCACAAUUUUCUGAGAAUGUUGGAAAUCCGGAGAUGAAUUUGGAUCAACAGAGUGUGAACAAUAAUGUCUCUGCUCUAUAUGCUUCGGGUUUCCGGAGUUUUAGGCAUCCUUCAUAUCAGAGGAAUUUUGAGACAGGAAGGGAUCCUUCAUAUCAGAGGAAUUUUGAGACAGGGAGGGAUCCUUCAUAUCAGAGGAAUUCUGAGACAGGGAGGGAUCCUUCACAUCAGAUGGAUUUUGAGACAGGGAGGGAUUUCAAGUCCAUGAACUUUGUGAGGAAAGUACUAGAUGAAGAUGGAAAGAGCAUCUUUGGGGGUUCUCAAUUUCCUCGAUACAAAAAUUUUGAGCAAGAUGCUGAUUUUGUGCAUGUAAAGCUUAUGCGCAACAAUACCUUUGUCACUGUGACAGAUUCAAAUGGAAAUAAGAAAUGUGGAGCCUCAUCUGGACAUUUGUCUGAGCUAAAAGGGGGCGCAAAAGUGUCUCGGUAUGCUGCUGAAGCAACAGCAGAACAUGUGGGGCGGCUGGCAAGAAAUAUGGGGAUUAAAUCAGUUGUGGUAAGAGUGAAAGGUUUUACUCAUUUUAAGAAGAAAAGGCAAGCAAUCCUCAGCUUUCGUGAGGGCUUUAGUAAUUCUCGGUCAGAUAAUCCUGUUGUACACAUUGAGGACACCACUAGACGUCCACAUAAUGGAUGCCGGCUUCCUAAGAAAAGACGAGUUUAACUGCCUUGCUUUGACUAGGGGACCGUACCUUUUUAUCUAGGGCUUGCCAGAAGAGGUGGCAAAUUUUUUUUCGCAAGAGGUGAUAGCAUGUUGGCUGAUGUGGGGAUGAUACUCUGUUUUAUCAGCUCCCUUGAAUCUUUCUUGAUUAUGCACAGAGAGGUAUCUAUGGUAUUCUAGUAAUCAAUACUCCAUUCGUCGUUUUCUUCAGUCAGGAUCUGUGAGUGUGGUAUUGCCGCUGCUCCAUAUGAUAUUCUUAAUGAAACACUUGAGGAGAUGCAUAAAACUC
RNA transcript from Theobroma umbraticum, 1222 nucleotides. It is a transcript of the gene named Ribosomal L18p/L5e family protein, with no coding region annotated. The record is from RefSeq and is a predicted model, not a curated record. NCBI's taxonomy places the organism in Eukaryota, Viridiplantae, Streptophyta, Magnoliopsida, Malvales, Malvaceae.